AAUAGAUACCCCGGUAGUCCUGGCCGUAAACGAUGUCGACUAGAUCGCAGGUCCUCUGACGGACUUGCGGUCGAAGCAAAAGUGCUAAGUCGACCGCCUGGGAAGUACGGUCGCAAGGCUAAAACUCAAAGGAAUUGACGGGGGCUCACACAAGCGGUGGAGCAUGUGGUUCAAUUCGAAGCAACGCGCAGAACCUUACCUGGGCUUGACAUGCCUGGAUUAUCCCUGUGAAAGCAGGGUAGGCCCUUCGGGGUACAACAGGCACAGGUGCUGCAUGGCUGUCGUCAGCUCGUGUCGUGAGAUGUCGGGUUAAGUCCCUUAACGAGCGAAACCUUUGCCCUUAGUUACCAGCGGGUAAUGCCGGGGACUCUAAGGGGACUGCCGGUGUCAAACCGGAGGAAGGUGGAGAUGACGUCAAGUCCUCAUGGCCUUUAUGCCCAGGGCCACACACGUGCUACAAUGGGGUGCACAAAGCGAACCAAGAGCGCAAGCUGGAGGAAAUCGCACAAAUCACCCCCCAGUUCAGA
Molecule: ribosomal RNA, 527 nt
Filed under: uncultured bacterium
Lineage: Bacteria
Description: bacterial SSU rRNA
Rfam family: Bacterial small subunit ribosomal RNA
Source: RNAcentral